This 465-nucleotide ribosomal RNA is filed under the name uncultured bacterium. RNAcentral's name for it is "partial 16S ribosomal RNA". It matches the Rfam family "Bacterial small subunit ribosomal RNA", at positions 338 to 795 of the family's 1533-position model. The record is from RNAcentral.
CCUACGUGGUGCAGCAGUGGGGAAUAUUGCGCAAUGGGCGAAAGCCUGACGCAGCGACGCCGCGUGAGGGAUGAAGGUCUUCGGAUCGUAAACCUCUGUCAGCAGGGAAGAACGGUCACUGUGCUAAUCAGCAGUGAAUUGACGGUACCUGCAAAGGAAGCACCGGCUAACUCCGUACCAGCAGCCGCGGUAAUACGGAGGGUGCGAGCGUUAAUCGGAAUUACUGGGCGUAAAGCGCUCGUAGGCGGUAUGUCAAGUCAAGGGUGAAAUCCCCGCGCUCAACGUGGGAACUGCCUUUGAAACUGGCAAACUGGAGUGUGUGAGAGGAUAGUGGAAUUCCAGGUGUAGGAGUGAAAUCCGUAGAUAUCUGGAGGAACAUCAGUGGCGAAGGCGACUAUCUGGCACAUAACUGACGCUGAGGAGCGAAAGCGUGGGUAGCAAACAGGAUUAGAUACCCCGGUAGUC